UACGUAGGGGGCAAGCGUUGUCCGGAAUCAUUGGGCGUAAAGAGCGUGUAGGCGGCCUGGUAAGUCCGCUGUGAAAGUCGGGGGCUCAACCCUCGAAUGCCGGUAGAUACUGUCGAACUAGAGUGCGGAAGAGGCGAGUGGAAUUCCUGGUGUAGCGGUGAAAUGCGCAGAUAUCAGGAGGAACACCAAUUGCGAAGGCAGCUCGCUGGGACGUAACUGACGCUGAGACGCGAAAGCGUGGGGAGCAAACAGG
RNAcentral lists this ribosomal RNA (253 nucleotides) under uncultured bacterium. RNAcentral describes it as "partial 16S ribosomal RNA". It matches the Rfam family "Bacterial small subunit ribosomal RNA", at positions 524 to 776 of the family's 1533-position model. The record is from RNAcentral.